Molecule: ribosomal RNA, 524 nt
Filed under: Pichia kudriavzevii
Lineage: Eukaryota; Fungi; Ascomycota; Pichiomycetes; Pichiales; Pichiaceae
Description: partial 26S ribosomal RNA
Rfam family: Eukaryotic large subunit ribosomal RNA
Source: RNAcentral
AAACCAACAGGGAUUGCCUCAGUAGCGGCGAGUGAAGCGGCAAGAGCUCAGAUUUGAAAUCGUGCUUUGCGGCACGAGUUGUAGAUUGCAGGUUGGAGUCUGUGUGGAAGGCGGUGUCCAAGUCCCUUGGAACAGGGCGCCCAGGAGGGUGAGAGCCCCGUGGGAUGCCGGCGGAAGCAGUGAGGCCCUUCUGACGAGUCGAGUUGUUUGGGAAUGCAGCUCCAAGCGGGUGGUAAAUUCCAUCUAAGGCUAAAUACUGGCGAGAGACCGAUAGCGAACAAGUACUGUGAAGGAAAGAUGAAAAGCACUUUGAAAAGAGAGUGAAACAGCACGUGAAAUUGUUGAAAGGGAAGGGUAUUGCGCCCGACAUGGGGAUUGCGCACCGCUGCCUCUCGUGGGCGGCGCUCUGGGCUUUCCCUGGGCCAGCAUCGGUUCUUGCUGCAGGAGAAGGGGUUCUGGAACGUGGCUCUUCGGAGUGUUAUAGCCAGGGCCAGAUGCUGCGUGCGGGGACCGAGGACUGCGGC